GCCCGUGAAGGAUGUGGGCACUCCACUUCGUGUCUGCUCUGUCCUGACUUCUAACAUGGUGUGACCUCUUACCCCGAGCUCUUGAUAUCAUACUUUCCCCUUCGUGAUGGCUUUUCCUCGUCCCUACCUUCUGAGCCCCCUCAGCAGCAUGGAGGACCACUGGGAGGCAGCUGCCUCUACCCAGGGCUUCUGCUUGGCUCCGCCUGCUAGAACAUUCAUCUCAUACCCAUCAUGAUUCCAAGCAGAACAUCCCUGGACUCUGCCCACAAAAUCCCGGCCCCUCCCUAGUGCUGACCUCUGGGCAGUUCCUCCAGCCACAUCUGUUCUCCAUGUUUCCCCACUGUCUGCCUCGUGCGGCUCCACCCCACAUUAAUCACUGCCUUCUCUGGCGAAUAAAGCAUUCUGCU
Long non-coding RNA from Mastomys coucha (southern multimammate mouse), 407 nucleotides. RefSeq lists it as uncharacterized. The record is from RefSeq and is a predicted model, not a curated record. The transcript has 3 exons. Lineage: Eukaryota; Metazoa; Chordata; Mammalia; Rodentia; Muridae.